GACGAACGCUGGCGGCGUGCUUAACACAUGCAAGUCGAACGGAAAGGCACUGCUUUUGUGGGGUGCUCGAGUGGCGAACGGGUGAGUAACACGUGAGUAACCUGCCCUUGACUUUGGGGUAACUUCAGGAAACUGGGGCUAAUACCGGAUAGGAGAUCCUGCUGCAUGGUGGGGGUUGGAAAGUUUCGGCGGUUGGGGAUGGACUCGCGGCUUAUCAGCUUGUUGGUGGGGUAGUGGCUUACCAAGGCUUUGACCGGUAGCCGGCCUGAGAGGGUGACCGGCCACAAUGGUACUGAGAUACGGCCCAGACGCCUACGGGAGGCAGCAGUGGGGAAUAUUGCACAAUGGGCGGAAGCCUGAUGCAGCAACGCCGCGGUCGGGAUGACGGCCUGCGGGUUGUAAACCGCUUUCGCCUGUGACGAAGCGGGAGUGACGGUAAUGGGUAAAGAAGCACCGGCUAACUACGUG
RNAcentral lists this ribosomal RNA (468 nucleotides) under uncultured bacterium. Its description in RNAcentral is "partial 16S ribosomal RNA". It matches the Rfam family "Bacterial small subunit ribosomal RNA", at positions 28 to 507 of the family's 1533-position model. The record is from RNAcentral.